RNAcentral lists this transfer RNA (46 nucleotides) under Trillium maculatum. RNAcentral describes it as "partial tRNA-Leu". Lineage: Eukaryota; Viridiplantae; Streptophyta; Magnoliopsida; Liliales; Melanthiaceae. The record is from RNAcentral.
CCUUUGGAUCUUAUUCCAACCCAAGUGUUUUGGAUAGCUACGAUAC